Molecule: small nuclear RNA, 179 nt
Filed under: Vulpes vulpes (red fox)
Lineage: Eukaryota; Metazoa; Chordata; Mammalia; Carnivora; Canidae
Description: U2 spliceosomal RNA (ENSVVUG00000018464.1)
Rfam family: U2 spliceosomal RNA
About the family: U2 is a small nuclear RNA (snRNA) component of the spliceosome (involved in pre-mRNA splicing). Complementary binding between U2 snRNA (in an area lying towards the 5' end but 3' to hairpin I) and the branchpoint sequence (BPS) of the intron results the bulging out of an unpaired adenosine, on the BPS, which initiates a nucleophilic attack at the intronic 5' splice site, thus starting the first of two transesterification reactions that mediate splicing.
Source: Rfam by way of RNAcentral
AUUGCUUCUCAGCCUCUUGGCUAAGAUCAAGUAUACAUCUGUUCUUAUCAGUUCAAUAUCUGAUAUGUCCUCUAUCCGAGGACAGUAUGUUAAAUGGAUUUUGGGAAUUAGGAGAUGGAUAGGAGCUUGCCCCAUCCACUGCACUCAUCGGCAGUACUUCCAGGAACCAUGCAACCCUU